UAUGUGAUCGUCUCUCGCAUAUCAAUAAGCGGAGGAAAAGAAACUAACAAGGAUUCCCCUAGUAACGGCGAGUGAAGCGGGAAGAGCUCAAAUUUGAAAUCUUAAAGGGUUUCCCUUUACGAAUUGUAGUUUAAAGAAGUGUUUUCCGUUGAGGUUUUGGUAAAAGUUCUUUGGAAUAGGACAUCAUAGAGGGUGAGAAUCCCGUAUUUGACCUUUACUUUCAACUUUGUGAUACACUUUCAAAGAGUCGGAUUGUUUGGGAAUGCAGUCCAAAAUGGGUGGUAAAUUUCAUCUAAAGCUAAAUAUUGGCGAGGAGACCGAUAGCGAACAAGUCCCGUGAGGGAAAGAUGAAAAGAACUUUGAAAAGAGAGUUAAACAGUACGUGAAAUUGUCAAAAGGGAAGCGUUUGACACCAGUGUUGUUUUUCUGAAAAUCAAUUAAAGAACUGUUUAUGCUAAGCUGUUUAGACUUUAUCAGCUAUCUGUUUAGUUUUGAGCUUUUCUUUAAUGCACUUUUCAGUUAACAAGUCAACAUCAAUUUCUUUUGCUGUAAAAAAGCUUGAGGAAGGUGGCUUGAGAUUCGUCUUAAGUGUUUAUAGCCUCUUGCCUAUGCAGUCGGAGAGAUUGAGGUCUGCAGCGUAGAUCCUUCGGGGCUAAAUGCAUUUGUGCUAAGUUAUAGCAUUUUAUAGACAACUUGUUGACUAUGAUUUGUCUUGUAGCUUACUCGCUUAUGUUAUUUUACCUACGCUUAGGAUGUUGAGCGCAUGUCUCUCUCU
This 775-nucleotide ribosomal RNA is filed under the name uncultured Neocallimastigales. Its description in RNAcentral is "partial large subunit ribosomal RNA". It matches the Rfam family "Eukaryotic large subunit ribosomal RNA", at positions 24 to 616 of the family's 3401-position model. The record is from RNAcentral. Lineage: Eukaryota; Fungi; Neocallimastigomycota; Neocallimastigomycetes; Neocallimastigales.